This is a long non-coding RNA of Pseudophryne corroboree (corroboree frog), 609 nucleotides long. RefSeq lists it as uncharacterized. NCBI's taxonomy places the organism in Eukaryota, Metazoa, Chordata, Amphibia, Anura, Myobatrachidae. The record is from RefSeq and is a predicted model, not a curated record. The transcript has 5 exons.
GCAGCAGCAGCAGUAAAGGAACAGCUCAGCUGCCGAGGAGGACGGAGAGGAGACAGGUCUUAGUGUCCGUCCCACGUACUGCCAAUUGCAGCAGCAGAUAUACAGUAUUCUGUUGGUGGAGUCACAGAUCCUACUGUCCGCCCCGCGUGCUGCCAGUUGGAGCUGCAUCCAGCAGAUAUACAGUGUUGUGUUGGUGGAGGCACAGGUUCUUCAGGUUACAGCAUUUUCCGCAGUGGAUGAUCCGCCCGUUUGCUCUGUAACUGAGAUAUAUAAAAUUACAGAUGGAAAGUGAAUUCUGCAAUCAGUCGGCUCGUGGGGUACAGGAAGAGUGCACUUACAUCAAAUGGAAACAGAUUUCAGCUCAUUUCCAAGAGCUAUUUACCUGUAAAACCAAACAGAAAGAUCAGGGCAAAUCCAUCAAGAGCAAAUGUAAGGAAACGCUCCGGCCCUACAAAACAAAUACAGAUGAACUGGAACGUCCUGUAGGUACUGUAAACGAAAAGGUCGAAUUUGUAUUUCCUGACAAACGCAUGGGAUACACGGUUAUUUUCUAUGCCUUAGACGUGGCGCUUGAUAGGGACAUAACGUUAAUUAGCUAGGCUGUUGUUU